UACGUAGGGUGCAAGCGUUGUCCGGAAUUAUUGGGCGUAAAGAGCUCGUAGGCGGUUUGUCACGUCGGAUGUGAAAACCCGAGGCUUAACCUCGGGCCUGCAGUGGGUACGGGCUGACUAGAGUGCGGUAGGGGAGACUGGAAUUCCUGGUGUAGCGGUGAAAUGCGCAGAUAUCAGGAGGAACACCGGUGGCGAAGGCGGGUCUCUGGGCCGUAACUGACGCUGAGGAGCGAAAGCGUGGGGAGCGAACAGG
RNAcentral lists this ribosomal RNA (253 nucleotides) under uncultured bacterium. RNAcentral describes it as "partial 16S ribosomal RNA". It matches the Rfam family "Bacterial small subunit ribosomal RNA", at positions 524 to 776 of the family's 1533-position model. The record is from RNAcentral.